Molecule: ribosomal RNA, 115 nt
Organism: Betaproteobacteria bacterium
Lineage: Bacteria; Pseudomonadati; Pseudomonadota; Betaproteobacteria
Source: Rfam
CUUGGCGACCAUAGCGCGCUGGACCCACCCCUUCCCAUCCCGAACAGGACCGUGAAACAGCGUUGCGCCGAUGAUAGUGCGGUCAUACCCGUGCGAAAGUAGGUCAUUGCCAAGA